This 229-nucleotide ribosomal RNA is filed under the name uncultured bacterium. RNAcentral describes it as "partial 16S ribosomal RNA". It matches the Rfam family "Bacterial small subunit ribosomal RNA", at positions 568 to 796 of the family's 1533-position model. The record is from RNAcentral.
UGCGCAGGCGGAAUAUUAAGUCAGUGGUGAAAUCUUACGGCUCAACCGUAAAACUGCCAUUAAUACUGAUAUUCUUGAGUAUAGUUGUAGUGGGCGGAAUAUAUCAUGUAGCGGUGAAAUGCUUAGAUAUGAUAUAGAACACCGAUCGCGAAGGCAGCUCACUAAACUAUAACUGACGCUCAGGCACGAAAGCGUGGGGAGCAAACAGGAUUAGAUACCCUGGUAGUCC